GCCUCCGUGGCGCAAUCGGCUAGCGCGUUCGGCUGUUAACCGAAAGGUUGGUGUUCAGCCACCGGGGGCG
RNAcentral lists this transfer RNA (70 nucleotides) under Trichonephila clavata. It matches the Rfam family "tRNA". From Rfam's summary of the family: Transfer RNA (tRNA) molecules are approximately 80 nucleotides in length. Their secondary structure includes four short double-helical elements and three loops (D, anti-codon, and T loops). Lineage: Eukaryota; Metazoa; Arthropoda; Arachnida; Araneae; Nephilidae. The record is from Rfam by way of RNAcentral.